This 1701-nucleotide long non-coding RNA is filed under the name Bemisia tabaci. RNAcentral describes it as "lncRNA ENSSWEETPG004671". Lineage: Eukaryota; Metazoa; Arthropoda; Insecta; Hemiptera; Aleyrodidae. The record is from RNAcentral.
CGGACCCCCAUGCUUUUCUCCAAAAAGUGAGUUUAGACAUGAACAUCUUGUCUCCAAAGUUUGCUGGCUGGAGCUAAAGUUUUCAACCAAUUCUUCUCCUUUUAUUCUAUUUGACUUUUUUUAUGUAUUCUAAUCUAGUGGCAAAUUAUCAUUGUAGUUUCUAGUUCCACCUUAGGAUUUCCUAUCCACGAUGACAGAUGAUGCCGAAGAUAAUUGCCAAGUCUCCCGGGGUUUGAUACUGUUCAAGACUUUUUCAAGCAUGGCUAUAAAACUGUCAUGGAAGGAAUCAGAGCCUCAAACAAUUUGCCGACUGGUAGCAAGUUUGAUAUGUACACAAGUUAUCCUGACUUUCAUCAUCUCAUGAAGUCCCAAGGUGGCAAAGUUCUUGAUCUCAUAAAUCUCCUGCUGAGACACCAAGGUAUUAGUGGAAACAUUCACCAUCGAGACUUAGAGGACAAUUUGAGCUAGUGGUUGAAGGAAAUGAUGCUAUUCUGGAAAGAGUGGUAAGAAAUGUUCUGAUUUUUUAUUUUACUAGGAUCAUUAUAUGCAAAUGGGAACAUUAUGUUUAUUUCAUGGUGAAAACGUUCAAUACUGUUGUUCAGAAUGUUUAGCUUGCUUGCAUUUUUUUAUUUUGUAAGAACGAGAGAAGAACUAAUGCAAAAAUUUCAAAUUUAGUAACUAACAAAUAAUCUGGUGGCAUGAAAUAUAAGUACUUCUUCUUGUUAGAUGGAUGAAAAUGGUGUAGAACAAAAGGGUCUAGUUCCUAGGGCCUCUCUUCAAUAAAAUUCUCAUAUCCUGCCAAAAAUCUUCUCUUUCAGGCUUUAGAUGUAAGUGAGGUGAACAAGGAAAAGAUUAGGAAUUCUAUCAUAAAUCAAAAUAAUCUAAUAAUUAAUAAAUAUAAUUCUUCAUAAUAAUUCUAUCAUAUUCAUAUUUCAUAUGAAUAUUUAUAUAUCAUAUCAUAUUUUGCCUCUUUCUGGAAGGAAAUUGCUAGCACACCACCCCCCUCCCCCCUGUUUCACAUUCGCUCUUGAUCUCUGUACCAUGGGUAGCUGGUUUUCUGUUUGUGAUGCCGAAGUCCUUUGGCAAUAGUUAGUCCAACUGGCCUACCUCUCCCCUGAAAAAUUCCCAUUUCUUUGUUCCAAAUUAAGAUGAAGGAUGAAGACUUAAAAAAAUUUUGUGGUAACUAUUAAGUGUGUGUUGAAUUCAGAAAGCAGUUUUAUAGAAAAAAAAGUGGUAUAAUGAUGCUUGCGACGCAACUUCUUUUUUUGUUGUCCUUGCAUAAGUUUCACUAUGAUUUACGCAAGUAUCAAAUAAGCUGCAGCAUUCACUUUCUUCAAGUGGUUUUCGGUAAUAAUUGAAACACUUUGACAAGUUUGGUACUGCUACCAGGAAUAAUUUCAGAAGUAGUAUUCAUAACCAGACACAACCAAUAGGCUCAUUUAAUAAGGUUAUGGUAAUUUUUUCUUUGCUACGUUUACAGAAUAGCAUACUACUUAGUUUUUUACCCUGCUUUGGAUACAAAAUUUCAUGUUCUCUCCUCAUCUUUUAUCAAGAUUUAAGUACUAAGUAACAUGAUCACCCUUUCUAAUCUAUUAAUGAGUUUAUUCAAUUCAUAAAUCUCAUCAACUAAAUUACGAGCAUAAUUUUAAUUUACUUUAAAAUCAGUAAAAUUCUCUUUCACUAAUAGUUGAAUGGCCACUG